CGUGGAUCCAGUAGGUACUUAAUGCGUGUUCCAGUUCAAAAAUAUUCAUUUUGUUUUCCAGGUAAAUCUUGCCAGAUCUUUCCGGACUGCAGACACAGGAGCGCACGGAUCACACCAACGCCACAGAACCAUGUCGGACUCAGAGACUGCAGCUCCUGCCAAGACCCCUGUCCCAGCACCCUGUGUGGCCAUCAAGGCAGAUCUAGACAAAUGUGUAAAGGAGAAUGGUGAGGAAGUGUGUAAGGAGCUAAUGGAGGCGUUUGCUGCCUGUGUGAAGAGCAAUGCUGAGGCGUCAUGAGGAGCUCAACAUGCAGGAAAAGGUUUCACUGCACUGAGUCCUACACCUUCCCAGCAUUCCCUGCAGCUCAUGGCACUGGACUAAACGAUGGGGUUUGGGGUUUGGCAGCAGAGACCAUAUUUGUGUCUCUUCCCUUCUCUACCCCCCUGUGAAGCUUAAAUGGAUUCCUCCAACCACCAACCUCUCCUCCCCUUUUGUGGCUGAUUGUAUUGAUCUGAUCUGUAGACAGUUUGAGAUUUGAUGUAAAUGAUGUGUCUCAGAUGCUUUCAAAAUGGAAUAAAGAUUUUAAAAAUGGUUCGAUAUUUGUAACC
This 609-nucleotide long non-coding RNA is filed under the name Sinocyclocheilus anshuiensis. RNAcentral describes it as "lncRNA (ENSSANG00000036762.1)". Lineage: Eukaryota; Metazoa; Chordata; Actinopteri; Cypriniformes; Cyprinidae. The record is from RNAcentral.